UUAAGUUAGUGGCGGACGGGUGAGUAACACGUGAGCAACCUGCCCUUUCAGAGGGGGACAACAAGUUGGAAACGACUGCUAAUACCGCAUAAGACCACGGGAUGGCAUCAUUCUGCGGUCGAAAGAUUUAUCGCUGAAAGAUGGGCUCGCGUCCGAUUAGAUAGUUGGUGAGUAACGGCCCACCAAGUCGACGAUCGGUAGCCGGACUGAGAGGUUGAACGGCCACAUUGGGACUGAGACACGGCCCAGACUCCUACGGGAGGCAGCAGUGGGGGAUAUUGGACAAUGGGGGGCCAACCCUGAUCCAGCGACGCCGCGUGAGGGAAGAAGGUUUUCGGAUUGUAAACCUCUGUUGACAGGGAAGAAAAUGACGGUACCUGUUUAGAAAGCCACGGCUAACUACGUGCCAGCAGCCGC
Molecule: ribosomal RNA, 417 nt
Filed under: uncultured bacterium
Lineage: Bacteria
Description: bacterial SSU rRNA
Rfam family: Bacterial small subunit ribosomal RNA
Source: RNAcentral